CCCGUCCGUCGAGACCCAGGUGCUCGGGAAACGGGUGAGAAUCCCGUACUGCCCCCGCAACGGUAAUCGCGUGUCGACAGAAACCGCCGCUGCCCGAUCGCAAGCGGCCGCCACUGCCUCUCGUCGCGGCAACAUGUCGCCGAUGAACGCGGGAAGGCGUUUCUGUCCGGCGUCGGCAUGGCCGACCGCCAGCGCGUCAGUCCGGAGACCGGCCUGCGUCUCAGCACUGGC
This 231-nucleotide non-coding RNA is filed under the name Chromohalobacter israelensis. The record is from RNAcentral. RNAcentral also lists the same sequence under 1 other name. Lineage: Bacteria; Pseudomonadati; Pseudomonadota; Gammaproteobacteria; Oceanospirillales; Halomonadaceae.